Molecule: ribosomal RNA, 433 nt
Filed under: uncultured bacterium
Lineage: Bacteria
Description: partial 16S ribosomal RNA
Rfam family: Bacterial small subunit ribosomal RNA
Source: RNAcentral
AACGAACGCUGGCGGCAUGCCUAACACAUGCAAGUCGAACGAGACCUUCGGGUCUAGUGGCGCACGGGUGCGUAACGCGUGGGAACCUGCCCUUAGGUUCGGCAUAACUCCCCGAAAGGGGUGCUAAUACCGGAUAAUGUCUUCGGACCAAUGAUUUAUCGCCUUUGGAUGGGCCCGCGUUGGAUUAGCUAGUUGGUAGGGUAAAAGCCUACCAAGGCGACGAUCCAUAGCUGGUCUGAGAGGAUGAUCAGCCACACUGGGACUGAGACACGGCCCAGACUCCUACGGGAGGCAGCAGUGGGGAAUAUUGGACAAUGGGCGAAAGCAUGAUCCAGCAAUGCCGCGUGAGUGAUGAAGGCCGUAGGGUUGUAAAGCUCUUUUACCCGGGAUGAUAAUGACAGUACCGGGAGAAUAAGCUCCGGCUAACUCCGUG